Molecule: ribosomal RNA, 530 nt
Filed under: uncultured bacterium
Lineage: Bacteria
Description: bacterial SSU rRNA
Rfam family: Bacterial small subunit ribosomal RNA
Source: RNAcentral
AAUAGAUACCCACGGUAGUCCACGCCGUAAACGAUGAGUGCUAAGUGUUAGAGGGUUUCCGCCCUUUAGUGCUGCAGCUAACGCAUUAAGCACUCCGCCUGGGGAGUACGGCCGCAAGGCUGAAACUCAAAGGAAUUGACGGGGGCCCGCACAAGCGGUGGAGCAUGUGGUUUAAUUCGAAGCAACGCGAAGAACCUUACCAGGUCUUGACAUCCUCUGCCAACCCUAGAGAUAGGGCGUUCCCCUUCGGGGGACAGAGUGACAGGUGGUGCAUGGUUGUCGUCAGCUCGUGUCGUGAGAUGUUGGGUUAAGUCCCGCAACGAGCGCAACCCUUGAUCUUAGUUGCCAGCAUUCAGUUGGGCACUCUAAGGUGACUGCCGGUGACAAACCGGAGGAAGGUGGGGAUGACGUCAAAUCAUCAUGCCCCUUAUGACCUGGGCUACACACGUGCUACAAUGGAUGGUACAAAGAGCUGCGAACCCGCGAGGGUAAGCGAAUCUCAUAAAGCCAUUCUCAGUUCGGAUUGUAGG